AUAUGUAGGGGUUUUACCAAAAUGUUGUCUGCAAUACAAUUGCAUGUGUAAAUUAAGUCAAGUUGUUUGCCUGAUUUGUGCGUGCUUGUGGUGAUAA
Long non-coding RNA from Sinocyclocheilus anshuiensis, 97 nucleotides. RefSeq lists it as uncharacterized. NCBI's taxonomy places the organism in Eukaryota, Metazoa, Chordata, Actinopteri, Cypriniformes, Cyprinidae. The record is from RefSeq and is a predicted model, not a curated record. The transcript is spliced from 3 exons.